CGACCGCUGGCGGCGUGCUUACCACAUGCAAGUCGAACGGAAAGGCCCCUUUGGGGGUACUCGAGUGGCGAACGGGUGAGUAACACGUGAGUAACCUGCCCUUGACUUCGGGAUAACUUCAGGAAACUGGGGCUAAUACCGGAUAGGAAUCCUUGCUGCAUGGUGGGGGUUGGAAAGCUUCGGCGGUUUUGGAUGGACUCGCGGCUUAUCAGCUUGUUGGUGGGGUAGUGGCUUACCAAGGCUUUGACGGGUAGCCGGCCUGAGAGGGCGACCGGCCACAUUGGGACUGAGAUACGGCCCAGACUCCUACGGGAGGCAGCAGGGGGGAAUAUUGCACAAUGGGCGGAAGCCUGAUGCAGCAACGCCGCGUGCGGGAUGACGGCCUUCGGGUUGUAAACCGCUUUCAGCAGGGGCGAAGCUUGUGGUGACGGUACCUGCAGAAGAAGCACCGGCUAACUACGUG
Molecule: ribosomal RNA, 463 nt
Filed under: uncultured bacterium
Lineage: Bacteria
Description: partial 16S ribosomal RNA
Rfam family: Bacterial small subunit ribosomal RNA
Source: RNAcentral